ACUUGCUCGUGUAGAUAUUGGCAGCUGUCAGGUUUACCCUGCUGCCAUGCCAUUAGUGCUAUCUAUAAAACAGGACAGAAAAUUGAUGAUUAUAUUGCUCCUUGCUACUCCAUAGAAGUGUACAACAAGAUAUAUGAUCAUUGCUUACAACCUUUGGAGGGAGAGGAGAGUUGGCCUAUUUCAACAAAUCCAAAGCCACAACCACCUGGUCACAUUAGCUUGCCUGGAAGGCCUAAAACAGAAAGAAGGAGAGAGGAAGGAGAAAAACCUAAGGGUACUAAGAUGAGCAAAGUAGGUGGCAAGAUCACUUGUAGUUCUUGCAAAAGGCAAGGACAUAAUAGAUCAAGCUGUAAGAACAACGAUGGAGCUAAACAUCAUGGAAAUGCUCAUUUGGUCAGAGAAGCUGCAAAACAAAAGAAGCAAGACAAAGAGGCUUUUGAUGCUCUUCAGACACAGAAAGCUGUGCUUGAAAAGCAGGUUAAGAUGACACUUGUUAGUACUAAUGAAAAAUUGGUUGCUUUUUGUUUCUACUAA
This 534-nucleotide ribosomal RNA is filed under the name Triticum aestivum (bread wheat). RNAcentral describes it as "partial small subunit ribosomal RNA". Lineage: Eukaryota; Viridiplantae; Streptophyta; Magnoliopsida; Poales; Poaceae. The record is from RNAcentral.